Molecule: ribosomal RNA, 536 nt
Filed under: uncultured fungus
Lineage: Eukaryota; Fungi
Description: eukaryotic LSU rRNA
Rfam family: 5.8S ribosomal RNA (bases 175-328)
Source: RNAcentral
UACCGAGUGAGGGCCCUCUGGGUCCACCUCCCACCCGUGUUUAUUUACCUUGUUGCUUCGGCGAGCCUGCCUUUUGGCUGCCGGGGGACGUCAGUCCCCGGGUCCGUGCUCGCCGGAGACACCUUAGAACUCUGUCUGAAGAUUGUAGUCUGAGAUUAAAUAUAAAUUAUUUAAAACUUUCAACAACGGAUCUCUUGGUUCCGGCAUCGAUGAAGAACGCAGCGAAAUGCGAUACGUAAUGUGAAUUGCAGAAUUCAGUGAAUCAUCGAGUCUUUGAACGCACAUUGCGCCCUCUGGUAUUCCGGAGGGCAUGCCUGUCCGAGCGUCAUUGCUGCCCUCAAGCACGGCUUGGUGUGUUGGGCCCCGUCCUCCUUCCGGGGGACGGGUCCGAAAGGCAGCGGCGGCACCGCGUCCGGUCCUCAAGCGUAUGGGGCUUUGUCACUCGCUUUGUAGGCCUGGCCGGCGCUUGCCGAUCAACCAAACUUUUUAUCAGGUUGACCUCGGAUCAGGUAGGGAUACCCGCUGAACUUAAGCAU